CAAGAUGUGUUGAUGCAGACUCUUCCCUCCCACUGAUGCAGGGAACAGAACACGUCGCAUCAAUUCUGCAUACACAUCCUGACGAUCCAUCGCCUACCAGAUCCUUUUUCAAGCCUCCUUAUUCAAUCCGUCAGUUCUUUAAAAGGCUCUGCCUGAUAUACUUCCCCCUGCUGUUUCAGAAGUUUCCUUCUGUCAGCCAAUGUAUACACUGGGAAAGAACUUGACCUACUUGACCUACAUCUGUUGAGAGUAAAGAUGGACAAAGCCCACAGAGAUAAAACAGUGAAGGAUUCCAUCCUCUUUGAGAUGCACUCAGGUACACAAUUGUUGUGUGGUGUGUGGUGUGAAUGGUACUUCUGAAGUAAACAAAUAGAAAAGAAUAGCAGAAUAAGGAUAUUUGAUUACAUAGAAAUGUUUAGCCGGAUGCAAAUCUGUAUCUGUUUUAUAACAUCUGCAUUUUUGAAAUGUUUUUAGAUUUAUUUAUUUUUUUUUUUUGCGUUCCUUAUAAUCUUGGCAUCAAGUGAAUGUAUGAAAUUGCUUUGUUAUUGCUAUUGAGUUUUAAAAAAUGUUUAUUUAGCAGACAUAAUCUACAAAAAAU
This 598-nucleotide long non-coding RNA is filed under the name Coturnix japonica (Japanese quail). Its description in RNAcentral is "lncRNA (ENSCJPG00005000578.1)". Lineage: Eukaryota; Metazoa; Chordata; Aves; Galliformes; Phasianidae. The record is from RNAcentral.